GACAGUGAGGCAGCAAAUGACAGACUAAUCCACUUUCUGAAGCUUGGAUUACCCCAGGAAAACAUCAGUAACAUUUUAGGUGUCACUCACACAACUAUUGUUCGUCGGAUGAGAGAAUGUGUUUGGCCAGAGAGAGAAUCCAAUAAUUAACCCUGAGAUGGAGUAGUAUUCAGACUCAAUGGCAGUUGAACAAGAUGGUGGAGAUGCUGACCAUGUUCACUUUGCAGUCAAAUUGCCUCUGGUAUCAUCAGGGUCCUGCUGCAGGUAGAAGCCUUGAAGUUUCUUCCAUUCCAAACAUUUACCUGGAGAUUCUUGGAUGGGACUUCCCAUCCAGUCCAAAAUUAUGUAAGCUUUUGUAGCUGGUCUGUAGUAACUGUGUGGAA
This 383-nucleotide long non-coding RNA is filed under the name Carassius auratus (goldfish). RNAcentral's name for it is "lncRNA (ENSCARG00000066443.1)". Lineage: Eukaryota; Metazoa; Chordata; Actinopteri; Cypriniformes; Cyprinidae. The record is from RNAcentral.